Molecule: long non-coding RNA, 1620 nt
Filed under: Malus domestica (apple)
Lineage: Eukaryota; Viridiplantae; Streptophyta; Magnoliopsida; Rosales; Rosaceae
Description: long non-coding RNA (MDOM_LNC016358)
Source: RNAcentral
CGGUGUUGAGGCUUUGGUGGCGAAAAUUGGUUGGGGCUUUUUCCUUGUUGCAUGUUCUUUUGUUUUGUGUUGCGAACCUUUCAUUGAAUUCAACGCAGAGUUGAUUUUCUUCCGAUGACUAGAUGUGUGGUUGCUGGCGAGGUGACGGUGACUGUGAAGGUCGGGCUAUGUGGGUUGAGGAUUAGGAUUUUUUCCCUGCAUUUUUGUUGAUUGGGCUUUGGCCAACCCCACCUUAUUGGGCUAAUUUGAUGUACUUGUACCGGACCUUCUUCUAUCAAUGAAAUUGCUUGCUUUGUUUUCCACAACCACUAUAAGUGAAAUGCUAAGGAGACUCUCUCAAAGUGAGACUCUAUAUAAACUCUCUACCACAUCAUAGAUCAACUUCCGUAUCAACAUUAUAAAACAUUAUGCAAAAUACAUGAAAUGACAAAGAGCUCAUAAAGAAACUCACAUUUGAGAUAGUCUCAUUAAUAUUUCUCUUCCGAUUCUCUUUUUCGAAAACAAAACAAAAAACUCUCAUAGCUUACCAACAAAUCAAACAAAUAUACCACGUGUUUGGUCUAGUGUAAGUAUCCACAUGAUCAAGUUUACAAGUAUAUGUAAACAAAAAAAAAAAAACAUAUAUUAUGAAAAUAUCUUUGAGCGAUAACCGAGUAUUUCAUCCGGUAAGAGCCUACUUAAUUUUGUUACGUGUUAUAAUACUCUAUGUAUUGGAUUCGAUCUUUGGAUUAAGUAAUGAUUUUUGCAAAUAUCACCUAAGAUUUGCUUAAUGUCAGAUAGCUAUUGAUAGGAUUAAAAGCACAUCACAAAGUAGCACAUAAAUGUCUUAUUAAUUUUCUUUAUUAACACUAAGAUUUGUCAAUUGUAGCAUAUGAAAAUAAGGGUCUUUUCUGCAGAAAAUUGUUUGAUCUAACUACUUAAAAUGUCACAAAAACUGGGCUGCUAUCCCUACUGACCAGCCAUCGAAAAAUAAUUAUUAGACCGACUUACAUUUAUUUAAAUUCAACAAAAUUUUAUACGCAAACACUAGACACACAGCGGACACUCUCACAAAGUUUUGGGAUUUUUGGAGUUGAUUUGCUAUUUUAAUUAAAUCAAACAAAAACAGGACAUAAGGAAAUUUUAAAUAAUAAAAAUAGAGUGUAGUCCACAAGUUAAGAAAACUAGUUAGGGGAAUAGCUACCCACCAACAAAUAAUCAUACAAACAUGUUAUGUUUCAUUCAAAUUCCUUUUAUUUCUAGAUGAAGAUGCUCAAGUUGGCUCAAUGUUAGAACUCAAUCUAUUACUCUUUCUUCCGUAGUAUGUUAAGAGAAUGACAUUUUCAACUUAACUUAGUCCCUAGCAUGCAAUCUAGAAUGGUGAGUUCAUAGAUUUAGUAAGUAGAAAUCAUUAAGAAUGAAAAGAGUUUGAGUCAUCACAAGGUAUCGAAAGUACUAGCGUUGUCUUAUUUAUCCUAGAAAUCGAUUCACAUAUGUUAAUCACAAUAAAUAAGCACUACUCUAGAACAUAUGUGGGUCCUCAUUCAAUAAGGGUGGACACACACAUAUUCAUAGCAUUAGUCUUGGUUUGGUAUUGCUGUGCUUUGAAAAAAUAUUGCUUCUACUGUGCUGUGAAAAUAA